Molecule: ribosomal RNA, 189 nt
Filed under: uncultured bacterium
Lineage: Bacteria
Description: partial 16S ribosomal RNA
Rfam family: Bacterial small subunit ribosomal RNA
Source: RNAcentral
CUUACGGGAGGCAGCAGUGAGGAAUAUUGGUCAAUGGCCGGAAGGCUGAACCAGCCAAGUAGCGUGAAGGAUGACGGCCUUAUGGGUUGUAAACUUCUUUUUUAUGGGAAUAACGAUAGUCACGUGUGAGUAUGUGCAUGUACCAUACGAAUAAGGAUCGGCUAACUCCGUGCCAGCAGCCGCGGUAAU